RNAcentral lists this ribosomal RNA (301 nucleotides) under uncultured bacterium. RNAcentral describes it as "partial 16S ribosomal RNA". It matches the Rfam family "Bacterial small subunit ribosomal RNA", at positions 509 to 807 of the family's 1533-position model. The record is from RNAcentral.
CAGCCGCCGCGGUAAAACAGAGGGUGCGAGCGUUAAUCGGAUUUACUGGGCGUAAAGCGUGCGUAGGCGGCUUUUUAAGUCGGAUGUGAAAUCCCUGAGCUUAACUUAGGAAUUGCAUUCGAUACUGGGAAGCUAGAGUAUGGGAGAGGAUGGUAGAAUUCCAGGUGUAGCGGUGAAAUGCGUAGAGAUCUGGAGGAAUACCGAUGGCGAAGGCAGCCAUCUGGCCUAAUACUGACGCUGAGGUACGAAAGCAUGGGGAGCAAACAGGAUUAGAUACCCGAGUAGUCCCUGUCUCUUAUAC